GAAGAGUUGUGUCCUGGGGUCCAUUUCACAAAGCAGGUUUAGUGAAAACUCUGAGUCUUUUAACCCUGAAAUCAGGGAAACUCUGAGUUUUCCGUUUCACAAAGGGAGAUAACUCAAACCAGAGACAGAGGGGUAACUCUAGCCUGUUUCACAGACAGAGGUGACUUAAGCUCUCGGUCAGUUACCGUAGUGACAGACCCUAUGA
This is a long non-coding RNA of Sphaeramia orbicularis (orbiculate cardinalfish), 205 nucleotides long. RefSeq lists it as uncharacterized. The transcript has 3 exons. The record is from RefSeq and is a predicted model, not a curated record. Lineage: Eukaryota; Metazoa; Chordata; Actinopteri; Kurtiformes; Apogonidae.